Drosophila yakuba is the source of this 342-nucleotide long non-coding RNA. RefSeq lists it as uncharacterized. NCBI's taxonomy places the organism in Eukaryota, Metazoa, Arthropoda, Insecta, Diptera, Drosophilidae. The record is from RefSeq and is a predicted model, not a curated record. The transcript is spliced from 3 exons.
AGAAGGAUAUUCCCAGAAGGGCACAACAGGAAGCAAUUAGCUUGCCCUGCCAGGUGAUCGGCACCAUAUCUCCAUAGCCCACCGUGCAGAGUGUGAUCUAAAAUCGGAAGUAUGGACUAGUACUGGGAUUAUUGGAAGGGACCAGGAAUGAUGCAAAGAUUAGACCUAAGAACCCUAUGUACAUGGUUGUGAUCAGCUCCUGCAAGACAAAAUAUAUAUGUAGUGUUCUUUAGGUCAUUGAAGUGCACUUGUCAUCCCGAUAACGAUAAAGAAGUGAUCUUAUUAAGACCCUAAUCAAAGGGAACUUGAAAAACUACGUUCAAGGUGCAAACUUGGAAUGCA